RNAcentral lists this ribosomal RNA (428 nucleotides) under uncultured bacterium. RNAcentral describes it as "partial 16S ribosomal RNA". It matches the Rfam family "Bacterial small subunit ribosomal RNA", at positions 354 to 796 of the family's 1533-position model. The record is from RNAcentral.
GUGGGGAAUAUUGGGCAAUGGGCGCAAGCCUGACCCAGCAACGCCGCGUGAGGGAAGAAGGCUUUCGGGUUGUAAACCUCUGUCCUUGGUGACGAAAAAAAUGACGGUAGCCAAGGAGGAAGCCCCGGCUAACUACGUGCCAGCAGCCGCGGUAAUACGUAGGGGGCGAGCGUUGUCCGGAAUUACUGGGCGUAAAGGGUGCGUAGGUGGCCUUUUAAGUUGGAUGUGAAAUACCCGGGCUUAACUUGGGGGGUGCAUCCAAAACUGGGAGGCUAGAGUGCAGGAGAGGAAAGCGGAAUUCCUGGUGUAGCGGUGAAAUGCGUAGAUAUCAGGAAGAACACCGGUGGCGAAGGCGGCUUGCUGGACAGUAACUGACGUUGAGGCUCGAAAGCGUGGGGAGCAAACAGGAUUAGAAACCCUGGUAGUCC